GACACAGUGGCGGAGUGGUUAACGCGCAUCCCUGCUAUACACGCUCCUCAAGGGCAAAACUCUUGUAAGGAUGUCUCCUCGGAGGCGCAAGUUCGAAUCUUGUCUGUGUCG
RNAcentral lists this transfer RNA (111 nucleotides) under Neonectria ditissima. It matches the Rfam family "tRNA". Rfam says of the family: Transfer RNA (tRNA) molecules are approximately 80 nucleotides in length. Their secondary structure includes four short double-helical elements and three loops (D, anti-codon, and T loops). The record is from Rfam by way of RNAcentral. Lineage: Eukaryota; Fungi; Ascomycota; Sordariomycetes; Hypocreales; Nectriaceae.